GGGCGGGGGCAGGCCGGUUGCAAGGGGAGCCGGCCAGUGCUUAGAGGGUUGGAACUUUCAACCCCGGCCCUUGACCUCCUGGUGGGGAAGAGGGAUUGGAGGAUGAGUUAGUCAAUCAUGCCUAUGGAACACAGCCUCCGAAAACUGAAAAGGAUGGGGUUCGGAGCCUCGCGUUGGUGACCGCGUCAAGGUGCGGGAGGGCGGGGCACCCGGAGAGGGCGCGGAAGCACACGCCAGCCCUGCCCCUCGCCUUGCCCUCUGCUCUUCCUGAGCGGUAUCCUUUAGAACAAACUGGUAAAUUGCGCUGGACACGGACCGCCAAUUGUGUACUUUACACAUCACUCCUCCCAUCUCUGCUGCUGCCUGAUAGGGGUUAUCUUCCUCUGCACGAACAGAAAACAAAGGCACAGAAAGGAAUGAAGAGUCACCGUUAAUUCCUGGGUCCAGAAGGAUCCCAAAUGAAUUUAGAACAACUGAAGACUCUCAGUUCAGAGGGACACUUUAAAAAGCAACCAAUAAUUACAGCUGGGGAGCCAUGAAGGAGCCCGAAGACACCAAGGCCUGUCCAUUCGAGACCAAAGGAGGAAUGUUGUUUACCAACUUUUCACCGAUGCUGCACCGACUCCCCAAAGAAUCUAGGGUGGCCGACUGGAGAAAGCAAAGAAGAAUCCCAGCUGUCAGCCUUUACCCACUGGGAAAACUCCUGAGAUCGAGCCACUCAAGUGGGUUAUUUUGCCAAGAGGAAAAAGCAACAGAUCACGGAACCAAAUAAGUCACGUGGACGACCCGUUACUUAUAUGAAUAAUAUACACUGAAAAGAGAAA
Molecule: long non-coding RNA, 824 nt
Filed under: Equus caballus (horse)
Lineage: Eukaryota; Metazoa; Chordata; Mammalia; Perissodactyla; Equidae
Description: lncRNA (ENSECAG00000060315.1)
Source: RNAcentral